CUCAGUUCGGAUUGUAGGCUGAAACUCGCCUACAUGAAGCUGGAGUUACUAGUAAUCGCAGAUCAGAAUGCUGCGGUGAAUGCGUUCCCGGGUCUUGUACACACCGCCCGUCACACCACGGAAGGUUGGGGGCGCCCGAAGCCACUUAGCUAACCCUUUUGGGAAGCGAGUGUCGAAGGUGAAAUCAAUAACUGGGGUGAAGUCGUAACAAGGUAUC
RNAcentral lists this ribosomal RNA (217 nucleotides) under uncultured bacterium. RNAcentral's name for it is "partial 16S ribosomal RNA". It matches the Rfam family "Bacterial small subunit ribosomal RNA", at positions 1287 to 1500 of the family's 1533-position model. The record is from RNAcentral.